Long non-coding RNA from Grus americana (Whooping crane), 7745 nucleotides. RefSeq lists it as uncharacterized. The record is from RefSeq and is a predicted model, not a curated record. The transcript has 3 exons. NCBI's taxonomy places the organism in Eukaryota, Metazoa, Chordata, Aves, Gruiformes, Gruidae.
UGACGGUAGGUCAGGGUGCACAGAUUGAAGCAGCACAACAGCUCUGAAUGAUACUGAGCGGUGUCACCUUUCUUCUCAGACCAGAUGUUACCACUCGUUUUACUCACCCGGUUAUGAGUUUUCACAACGGACAGAAAGCAUCCCGCAACACUUUCUACACAGAACCUGGCCAGCCCUGCAAUGGGCGGAUGCAGAAGUUACCUCGCGCAGCUUCACUGACGACUAACUGAUGCUCUCUUAUUUGCUUUUUAUUGGUAGCUGUGACAACAACAACCAGGGAACAUUCCUCAGUGUGCUCUUAUUAUCAAGUCUGACAAUGGGAUGCUCAGCCAUGGGCAGAAAGAGGAUUCUUUUAAAAGUCUGUUCACAACCUCGCAGGAAAUGAGUCAAAAUCUUCAGAUACACUCUCGGUCCUGUUCAGGCAGUAUGGAUAAACAUCUUACCAAGUCCCCAGUGUGGAUUCCAAGACCAGUCAAUGGCAAGUACCUUUUCUUGAUAGCAACAGGCAUGUCUUUUCCCCACUAAGGCUUGUCAAGAAGAUUUACCUAAAAUAGAUCAUGUUAUAGUGCUCAGUCUUCAUACCCUCAGAGCUAUUCCUCCAUGUUCGUCUGUUACUUGACUAUUUUGCACUGCUGAGAACAAUCUAACCCUAUUUUUGUGGCAAUCUCAGAAAAUGAAAGAUCCCUUUCUGGCCUCCUUGCACCUAGCUCACUUAUAUCUCAGGAUAGGAAUCCACAGUCCCGCCUCUCUCCAGAUUAACUUUUUAUUCUACUUUUUCUCUAUUGUGAUUAUCUUAACAGGUCUGAAUCAACAUUGGCAUCUGCAGGAGUUUUCUCUGUUACGGACAAUGGCAGAGUUAACUGAUGAACAUUUAACUUUAAUUGGGCAAAAUACCAUUAUUCAGAGCAGAAAUUUAGAAUUAUAGAAUUUAUAAAAUUGCACACCCUUAGUUUACCAGUGACAAAGCUUCCAAAGGCUGAUUAUCAGUUCUGACACAGGAAAGAGAGUGUACAUGAACAUAAAUAUUAGCCAGAGUUCCUUCAGAAAAAACAUCCAUAAAGCAGGAGUACCUGUCAGCAGCAGUAGUCCUAUAUAUCUAAAAUAAUAAAUAUAUAUUAUUCUAUGUGGCGUUCCUCAGGGGUUGGUAUUGGGACUGGCACUGUUCAACAUCUUUGUCGGCGACAUAGACAGUGGGAUCGAGUGCACCCUCAGCAAGUUUGCCAAUGACACCAAGCUGUGUGGUGUGGUUGACACGCUGGAGGGAAGGGAUGUCAUCCAGAGGGACCUUGACAGACUGGAGAGGUGGGCCCGUGCAAACCGCAUGAAGUCAACAAGGCCAAGUGCAAGGUCCUGCACAUGGGUCAGGGCAAUUCCAAGCACAGCUACAGCCCAGGCACAGAAUGGAUUGAGAGCAGCCCUGAGAAGGACUUGGGGGUGCUGGUGGACAAGAAGCUCAAUGUGACCCAGCAACGUGUGCUUGCAGCCCAGAAAGCCAACCAUGUCCUGGGCUGCAUCAAAAGAGGCGUGACCAGCAGGUUGAGGGAGGUGAUUCCACCCCUCUACUCCGCUCUUGUGAGACCCCACCUGGAGUACUGCGUCCAGCUCUGGGGGCCCCAAUAUAAGGACAUGAAGCUGUUGGAGCGAGUCCAGAGGAGGGCCACGAAGACAAUCAGAGGGCUGGAGCACCUUUCCUAUGAGGACAGGCUGAGAGAGUUGGGGUUGUUCAGCCUGGAGAAGAGAAGGCUCCAGGGAGACCUUACAGCAGCCUUCCAGUACCUGAAGGGGGCCUACAGGAAAGCUGGAGAGGGACUGGUUACAAGUGCAUGGAGUGAUAGGAUGAGGAGUAAUGGCCCUAAGCUGAAGGAGGGUUGAUUUAGAUUAGAUAUUAGGAAGAAGUUCUUUACUGUGAGGGUGGUGAGGCACUGGCACAGGUUGCCCAGAGCAGCUGUGGCUGCCCCCUCCCUGGAAGUGUUCAAGGUUGGAUGGGGCUUUGGGCAACGUGGUCUUGUGGGGGGUGUCCCCGCUCAUGGCAGGGGGGUUAGAACUAGAUGGUCUUUAAGGUCCCUUCCAAUGCCAACAAUUUUACGAUUUAUAAAACUACAAUAAUAUGGGAAUAUUCUACUCAUCUACAGCCUCUGUUAUGCCUUGCUGUAAUAAUAAUAUUUGAAUCCUCUAUGCUACAGUAACACUGUUUCUGCUAUCACCAUGACACUUUCUAAGUUGUAGCAGUAUUUUGGAGUAAGUUAAACAUAAAAAUUUUCUUAGCUCAAUAAAUUGGAUUAUUUGACAUAUAAUGAAAACAACUAUCUAUAUUUACAUUGAUGUUUAGGCAGUUUAGCAGCUUAGGCACAUCCUGGUAGCACAUGGAUUUCCUUCCUACUUCUUCCUUCAUUUUGAUUCUCUGCUAUUUCAAGAAAUAGAAUAAACAAAUUGUUUAUUCUGUUUCAAAAAAAUAGAAUCUGGAAAUGACACUUAAGCAAUUAAAAUUGGGAAUCUAUUUAUAGGCCAGAACAGCAUUUAUUCAUACACACAUGCACAAAAGUUUUUAAUUCAGCUUUAUCACAUCUCCUCUAAUAAUGAUAUCCUCAGAUUGUUUCUCUUUUGUUAAACUUUCUUAGCAUCAGUCACUGGAGUAAAUGUAAUCUCAUUUUAAUUUUUAAAAAUGGAAAACUAAUGCAGUAAGACACAAGGCCUAUUUUUCAUUAACGUAGCCAUCAGAUCAGACAUAAAAUUAAUUAUUAGAAUGCAUUCAACAGAUAUAUCAUAAGACAUGAAAGCAAUUAUAAACCAGUUAUUUUAUCAUUGCGCAUGAUGCUAUUCAUUGUUCUGGCAUUUUAUAUAGGAGAAAUUUCAAUCUGUAGAACUUUGUUCAUGAAAAUGGACAACCAAAAUCUGCAUGUUCUGUUUAUUGCUUGCUUUAUAGAAUUGCUUAGGUUGGAAAAGACCUUUAAGAUCAUCAAGUCCAACCGUUAACCUAGCACUGCCAAGUCCACCACUAAACCAUGUCCCUAAGCACCUCAUCUCUGUGUCUCUUAAAUACCUCCAGGGAUGGUGACUCAGCCACUUUCCAGGGCAGCCUGUUUCAAUGCUUGACAACCCUUGCAGUGAAGAAAUUUUUCCUAACAUCCAAUCUGAACCUCCCCUUGCACAACUUGAGCCCAUUUCCUCUUGUUCUAUCACUUGUUACUUGGGAGGAGAGACCAACACCCACCUGGCUUCAACCUCCUUUCAGGUAGAUGUAGAGAGCAAUAAGGUCUCCCCUCAGCCUCCUCUUCUCCAGGCUAAACAACCCCAGUUCCCUCAGCCACUCCCUCAUAAGACCGGUGCUCUAGACCCUUCACCAGCUUCAUUGCCCUUCUCUGGACACACUCCAGCACCUCACUGUCCUUCUUGUAGUAAGGGGACCAAAACUGAACACAGUAUUCAAGGUGCGGCCUCACCAGUGCCGAGUACAGGGGGACAAUCACAUCCCUACUCCUGCUGGCCACACUAUUCCUGAUACAAGCCAGGAUGCUGUUGGCCUUCUUGGCCACCUGGGCACACUGCUGGCUCAUAUUCAGCCGGCUGUCAACCAGCACCCCCAGGUCCUUUUCCUCCGGGCAGCUUUCAGCCACUCUGCCCCAAGCCUGUAGGGUGGCCUGGGGUUGUUGUGACCCAAGUGCAGGACCCGGCACUUGGCCUUGUUGAACCUCAUACAGUUGGCCUCGGCCCAUUGAUCCAGCCUGACUAGAUCCCUCUGUAGAGCCUUCCUACCCUCAAGCAGAUCGACACUCCUGCCCAACUUGGUGUCAUCUGCAAACUUACUGAGGGUGCACUCAAUCCCCUCAUCCAAAUCAUUGAUAAAGAUAUCAAAGAGAACUGGCCCCAGUAUUGAGCCCUGGGGAACACCACUUUUGACUGGCCACCAAUGGGAUUUAAUCCCAUUCAUCACAACUCUUUGGGCCUGGCCAUCCAGCCAGUUUUUCACCCAGUGAAGCGUACACCUGUCCAAGCCAUGAACAGCCAGUUUCUCCAGAACACUGUGGGAAAUGGUGUCAAAGGCUUUACUGAAGUCCAGGUAGACAAUAUUCACAGCCUUUCUCUCAUCUGCUAAGCAGGUCACCUUGUCAUAGAAGGAGACCAGGUUAGUCAAGCAGGACCUGACUUUCAUGAACCCAUGCUGACUGGGCCUGAUCACUUGGUUGUCCUCUAUGUGCCACGUGAUGACACUUAAGGUGAUCUGCUCCAUUACCUUCCCCAGCACUGAGGUCAGAUUGACAGGCCUGUAGUUCCCUGGAUCCUUCUUCUGGCCCUUCUUGUAGAUGGGUGUCACGUUUGCUAACCUCCAGCCAGCUGGGGCCUCCCUGGUUACCCCGGUUACCCAGGACUGCUGAUAAAAUGAUGGAAAGCGUCUUGGUGAGCACUUCUGCCAGCUCCCUCAGUAUCCUUGGGUGGAUCUCAUCCAGCCCAAAGACUUGUGUGUGUCUAAGCGGUGUAGCAGGUUGCCAACCAUUUCCUCUUGGAUUAUGGGGGCUUCAUUCUGCUCCCUGUCUUCCAGCUCAGGGGGCUGGGUACCUGGUGAACUACUGGUCUUACUGCUAAAUGCUGAGGCAAAGAUGACGUUAAGUACCUCAGCCCUUUCCUCAUCCUUUGUCACUAUGUUUCCCCCCUGCAUCCAAUAAGUGAUGAAGAUUCUCCUUAGCCCUCCUUUUGUUGUUAAUGUAUUUAUAGAAACGUUUUUUAUUAUCUGUUACUGUAGUACGAAGAUUAAGUUCUAGCUGGGCUUUGGCCCUACUAUGCCCUUCUCCCUGCAUAGCCUAAUGUAGUUGUCCUGAGUUGCCUGCCCCUUCUUCCAAAGGCCAUAAACUCUCCUUUUUUUCCUGAGUUCCAGCCAAAGCUCUCUGUUCAGCCAGUUCUCUUUUAAAUUUGAAUAAACACCAAUUAUUCUAAAAGGCUAUUUUUGACAUUGAUUUAUUCACAGCCAGAGCAAGAUGAUACCAUCCUGGCCAAAAAUUGUUGUUCUUUAAUUCUGUUUCUAUAUAAAAGCAAGUAGAAAUCAGAUCAAAACUAGUCUUUGGGUUGUUUACUUAGGAUAUGAUUUUAAGGAAUCUUUGGGAAUUAAGAUACUAAACUUCUGCUCACUUUCUAAAGACUAAGUUAACUCCCUUUUGGUUUUGAAAAUUACAUACCUAUAACAAAAUUUAGCAAUAUUAAAAACCCCACUACAUUCAGCAAAACACAGAAGUCAUAAUUUUUAUAUGGAAAUCAGCACCAAACUGCUGUCACGUUAGACAGGCAAACAAGAGAUGCAGGGCAAGUCAAAUCAUGAGACAAAUUAAUCCUUCACCAGGUUAGGAACGAGCGAGUUAACCAGCCCUUCAGCUUCAUCAGGUCUGGAGGGAUGAGAAACUAGAAUCCUCCCUUACACUGAGAUGCUUAAAAACUGGUGCUUUUAUCAGAAGAAUCGUCCUCAACUGCCUUCAUCCUAUUUCACCUUCCCAAGGGGUGGGUCCUCCGUUGGCUGGCAGUGAGGGUCUUCGCAAUGCCUCUGCAGGGAUUUCCUACAGCAGAGCCUUACUAUUUGUCCAUACAUUGUAGCACAAUGAGUGCCUUAGAUACCUCUUGCAAAAAAAGUUUUAUAACUAUAUACAAACUGAAGUUUAAUUCCACAUUUUUAUUUCUUUCCCAAUAUUUUGCAGAUGGCACAAACUCUUUCCAAGGCAGUGAUACCUCAAUUCACUCUCUAACUGAAAAGCAAAACUACCCAUGAAAAAUACUCCUCUAUUUGUUUGACUUGCUUAUUGGUCACACUGCUAAAGAGGAGAACAUCUUUCAGAUUAAACACGACUACUUCUGCUAAAGUACUUUAAAACACAUUCCUACAUAUAUUGCUUUGGGACAGUGCCCUAAGUUUUCCUGUUUCCAACACUGCACGGUCCAAGGUAAGGAGGUUGCUUUUCUACCUUACUAGGAAAGACAGAAUUAUUUUUCCUCCUCACUGUGAUGAGGCAACCCAGAAUGCAAAUCUGGAAUGGUUAGUUGCCUUUGAUUUUCCUUCUAUUAUUGAGAACAUUGCAUCAUUAGAAAUCUGGGCUCAUGGUAAAUGGCAAUCCCAAACUUGUAAUGCUGUUACGCAUUUUUUCACUGCUGUGACCUUUAAUGUAGCAGAAUAAGUUCAACUUCUUUAUAUAUACUUUUUAUACUUCUGUACAAAUCUAUAUAAAUAUCUAUAUUUUUUCCUCAGCUAUUACUCCAUAGAUUUCAAAAGGAAGAUAAAUACAAAUGGGAAAUGUAAGUAAUAGGUAAAAAAUGUAAAAAUACAUUUUUCUGUUUUGAAUAAUUCAUGUUAAGCCAUUUGACUACUCUCAGCACAGCUUAAGAUAAGCUGAGAUAAUUUUUCUGAACCUUCAUUAUUUAUAAUUUACAGGAAAAUCUUUGAACUAAAAUAUAGAAUAAGUGUUGCAGCAGAUAACCACAUUUACUCCCUCUUGCAUACCACAGAAGCAAAGAAAAAUUAAAGGAGGGAUAAAAACCUAAUUGAGAAGUAAUCCUAAUUGCAAAUUGUACCAUUAACAGCUCACAAAUUGUAAUUUUAGCAGAUUGUACUGUCAUUUUACUGUAGUCAGGUUUCUUAUUAGUACCCUAAAAUAACAGGGACUGAAAUACGUGAAGUUACUUAAUCCUGACAACCAGGCCUGUGGCUACAAGAAAUAAAUAUUUAUGCUAUGGCCAGAUUGCUUUUGUAGGUAGUGUUAUUUGGUAAUUGUUUCAAAGAGAGUAGUUUAACCUCAAGUUUUAUCUGUUAAUAUACCAGAGCUACUGAUUAUUGCUUAUUUCUUAACCCAAUUUCACUGAGAUUUCACCUGACUAAAGCACGGAAAGGCAAGCUUUCCUAGGAAGGGAAAGGGGUAGCUCUUCUCCACACAGCCUGAGAAAUAUUUUCCCCUUGCUUGAGAUCCUUACUGCCAAACUAUUUUGAAGGCAAGCAGAAUGAGAAGGGAGCAGUGAGAUUGGCACAGUAGAGUACUGCAAGAGGUCAGAGAAUGCUGCAAGCAAUAGGGGUAUCACAAAAAGUACGGAGGUAACGUUAAGAUGCUUCUACAAGGAAACGUUAUAGAGAUAUGUACUAGACCACUCAGAAGCUUUUAUUCCUCUGAUUAACAAACAUUUUAACUUUCUUUUUAAGGUAUAACUUCUACCAUAGUAACCUCUUCAUUGAGUUCUACAGGCUUCUGUAUGUUGGGCAAAACAAUGAUGGUUAUAUUGUCACGUAAUCAGUUUUAAUUUUUCCCUGGCCACAUCGUGCUUGUUUGGCUGGGAUAAACUUAAUUUUCUUCAUAGUAGCUAUCAUGGGGCUAUGGUUUGGAUUUGUGCUGGAAGCAGUGUUGACAACACAGGGAUGUUUUAGUUGCUGCUGAGCAGUGCUGACACAGAGCCAAGGGCUUUGCUGCUCCUCACCCCACCCCACCAGCGAGGAGGCUGGGGGUGCACAAGGAGUUGGGAGGGGACACAGCGGGGACAGCUGACCCCAACUGACCAAAGGGAGAUUCUAUACCAUAUGAUGUCAUGCUCAGCAUAUAAGGGGCUGGGGGAAGAAGAAAGGAAGCAGGAGGACGUUUGGAGUGAUGGCGUUUGUCUUCCCAAAUCACCGUUACGCAUGAUGGAGCCCUGCUUUGCUGGAGAUGGCUGAACACCUGCCUGCCCAUGGGAAGUGGGGAAUGAAUUCCUUGUUUUGCUUUGCUUGUGUGCAGCUUUUGCUUUACCUA